Unclassified non-coding RNA from Bradysia coprophila, 1478 nucleotides. The record is from RefSeq and is a predicted model, not a curated record. NCBI's taxonomy places the organism in Eukaryota, Metazoa, Arthropoda, Insecta, Diptera, Sciaridae.
UGAUAGUGGAUUCAAUUGCAACGAAAACGUCAGUUUACCAAGUUGAUUACAUUUUAUCAGUACACACUAGAGUAUCCACUUAAUCCCCAUUUCGAUCGAUUUAUUGUUUUAAGUGUAAGAUUACGUUUAUGUGAGAAAAUAAAACUACCCAACCAGCAGAUAACAGCAGAAUUUAGGUAAAAUUUAUUCAUAUUAUACAUCUCAGUGGUUGUGUUUGUUUUAGCUCCUUUUAUGUGAACAAACUAAGUCAACAUUUUGACCUUGGUGAGAUCUUAUAUUUAAAGGCUAAGGACAAGGCUACGAUAAUCUAAUGGAGUCCAUAUGCUACUCAUAUUCAAACAAUUCAGUUCAUUUACCUCAUAUCUUUUUGUUAGAGUGUUCUAUUCAAUAUAUGGAUCCGAGUCAUUGAUACUGUUUUUUCGACAAAAUGCGUUUAGUUAUAUUAGAUACAUGUGCAAAUGUCGGCGAAUGGUCAGCCAAAUACGUCAUGAAGCGUAUUCGCGACUUCCAACCAGGUCCCGGCCGAUACUUUGUACUCGGACUACCGACUGGAUCCACUCCCUUAGGGAUGUACCGUAAAUUAAUCGAGUAUUACAAUGCCGGUAACGUUUCUUUCAAGUACGUAAAAACGUUCAACAUGGACGAAUAUGUGGGGUUGCCGAGAAACCAUCCAGAGAGUUACCAUUACUUUAUGUGGGAAAAUUUUUUCAAGCACAUUGACAUACUGCCAGAAAAUGUUAACAUUCUCGACGGCAAUGCGCCAGACCUGUCUGCAGAAUGUUCAUCAUUCGAGCAAAAAAUUAAGGAUGUUGGUGGCAUUGAGUUAUUCAUCGGAGGCAUUGGUCCCGAUGGUCAUAUUGCGUUUAAUGAACCUGGUUCAUCACUGGUAUCACGUACACGAGUAAAGACAUUGGCUCAAGAUACACUAGAAGCAAAUGCUAGAUUUUUUGGAAACGACAUGAGCAAAGUGCCGAAGGAAGCGUUAACUGUCGGAGUUGGCACCGUCAUGGAUUCAAAAGAAGUGAUGAUAUUGAUCACUGGUGCCCAUAAGGCGUUCGCUCUGUACAAAGCUAUUGAAGAGGGUGUGAAUCAUAUGUGGACUGUGAGCGCUUUUCAACAACACGCCAACACUCUCAUGAUCUGUGACGAGGACGCGACAUUGGAAUUGAAAGUCAAGACCGUCAAAUAUUUCAAGGGUCUGAGUGCUGUCCACCACAAACUUAUUGAUUUGAAUGAGCCAUUUUUGGAGCACAGGCGAUAGAAAAAAAAUCUUUUACACUGGAUCGACAACAUUUACGCCAUUUUUAUUAAAAUUACGCAUCUGGUAAUUGGGUCUAAUGGAAUUACAUUCAAAGCUGAUUGCUGAAUCUUAGUAAAUUUAAAUCCAAUUGAAAAUUAGCGUACAAUUUUUGUUCAUUAAAAUGUAUUUUUGUAAUUCAACAUAAAACGGGAAAAAUAAACUAACUAAAACGGGUAAA